Molecule: unclassified non-coding RNA, 218 nt
Filed under: Hevea brasiliensis (rubber tree)
Lineage: Eukaryota; Viridiplantae; Streptophyta; Magnoliopsida; Malpighiales; Euphorbiaceae
Source: RNAcentral
GCCAAUUGAUUUCUCAUAUAACAUGAUUUGCUGACUUAUUAUCUAGGAACAUGCUUACUCUCUGCCUAAUCUUGUUUAUGAUAAAAAUCAGAAGAUUGUUGAACCUCCCCGCUCCCUCCCUCUCUUUUAGGACUUAGAACUAAUGUAGGUUUAUUUCAUGGGAAUAAGAAACUAGUUUGUUAUGAUUUUCCCCUCUUUUGGCACAAGGGUAUAGUGAU